Columba livia (rock pigeon) is the source of this 11996-nucleotide long non-coding RNA. RefSeq lists it as uncharacterized. The record is from RefSeq and is a predicted model, not a curated record. Lineage: Eukaryota; Metazoa; Chordata; Aves; Columbiformes; Columbidae. The transcript is spliced from 5 exons.
AACUUAUACAACUUUAUGAGCAGGUGGCAGAUAUGGUAAUGUCCCUGAACUGAAAUGUGAUGCAUUGGACACAGCAUUGGAUGGUGAGUUGGGAACCAUAUCUUCUGUUUCUGGCUUUUCCCUUGACUUGCUGUAUGAUCUUCUGCAGCACUUAAUCUCUACUUUUCUCCACUUACAAACGAUUAUAAAGAUGUUUUCCUAGCUGCAUAAAGCACUUUGCUCUUUAGAAAUGGACAGUGCUGUGACAUGCAGGUAUUACUGGGUGUAGCAAAACAAGUAAAACUGGAAAAGCUGAAUAUGUUCAAUGCAUUUAAAUAUGCCUAGAGGUUAAAAAUUUAAUUGGCAGAGUGCCCUAGAUUUCUGUCUAAUAGGCCUGUUUCCGUGAGCUUCUGCCGUGUCUGACAUACUAGCCUGCUGCUGUUCAGACACAGCUGUACAUCUGGUGAUUUGAGCUGUACCACUCCAUCUCUUGUCCCCCUUUGUUGAGCGUGUUGGAGUUGGGGUGACGCCGAAAUACUCAGCCAAAGAUCUGUGCUUUCAUCUGAGUCUUGAGGAUGUGCUGGGACUGGUCCUGUUUUGCAGCGUGCAAUGCGAUCAGCGGGCACAGCGGAAAACUGCUGCAACGAGCGAGAGUGACGGGGCUUGCACAGCACCAGUGCUGCUCGACGAGGUGCACACGUGGGAAUAUAGGACCACAUGGGAGUUGUCACACUGCUCAGCUUUACAUGUCUGAUAUCACCACCCACUCUCCCCACGUUAUGUCUCCGAAGCUGAAGAGGUUGUUGCGCUGAAAACCCCGGGAGAGCACUCAGUCUGCAGCAGGCACUGGGAAGUGGUAUCCAUGUGGUCUGGUCAGGAUCCUUGCGAUUACGAGGAGCACAAGUGACACCAGAUGGAGUUCUCAUCAUCUCUCAUAUUCAAGGUCACGCUGCAUGAAGUGGCAGUGUCACUGCUCCGAGCAGUGCUGGCCCAGUGGACUGACCAUCCUGAGUGCUGCCUGUGUGACACUAUGGCAUCAAGAUUCUGGCCACUAAUGGGGAAGAAUGUCUGCACAAUGCUUGGAUAUGUUCCACGACUUUCAGGAGUGAAAUCUAAGAAGACUUAUGCUCUUGAAUCACAACGUAGCUUCUGAAGAUGACACAGUCACACUGGGAAAUGGUAAUACAAAAUUAGUAGAAAAUAUAGCUCUGGCCUACAGAGCUUUGCAGCUGCACACCACCAGUUCUUGCAGUUUGCUGAACCUGCCAUUCAGAUACAGGUCUGUGCCAUUCCAGUGGGGACCAGGCUUUCAGUCUUCCGUCCACAGGUACGUGUGGGUUAAACGGCAACCAAGAAAUGCAAAUCUAUUGCCAGUAAGCCGAAAUCCACUAUGUAAGGAUAGGCACCUCAGCUGGAGGUCAUCAGCGUGUACUUUGCUAGUUACAAUCAAUUGCCUUUGUAGCUUCAGAGAGGCAUUGCAUUAGAGAACAUGUAGAUUAAACCUUGACACUACUGAAGUCAAUGAGAGCUUUGACUGUGAUUUUCUAGGUCUUUAUCCACAAUACUGCUUCAUUUGUUUGAGGUCAGCUGAGAUAGUCUGGCAGUUUUAUGCUUACAUGGUAACACGAGGAGAAUGACAAGGCUGAACGGCUUAAUGAUAGUUAAAUCAAGAGCACUUUUAAGGCUGAGUAAAAGACAGUAUUUAGAGAUACAAAUGGAUGGAUUAAUUUUUUGAAAGAGGUUGAAUUAUUACAGUAUCAGAAUAAGCGUAUUUUGAAAUAGUUUUUCAGAAAAUGUCUGUUCUGGGACCAAAGGAACAUUUCUACAUUGUUCUUAAGCUUUUAUAUGUUUUGUAUUACAAACCUGCUCUCUGCAUUAAUUUUCUUGCAAUCACAUUUAGUGACUUCUCUUUUUUGUAUCAUGCAUAAUAAACCUCUCAAUAUUCUUCAUGCUUUUGCUGGACAUAAAGACACAGUUUAAAGCCUUUUUGCUGUCUGUGGCUGAGGAUAUUUUUUUUAACUCCACUCACUUGGUGACUGGUGUCCUAUUGUACAGUGGGGUUGUGAGCUAUGAUUUAUCAUCCCAGGCACUGCCUUUGCACAGUGAAGGGUAAUAACUGAGUUUCCUGACAUUGAUGAGGGACUGCAGAGAUAUGUACACAUGCAUGGCCACCUUUAAUACGUACCAACUCCAUUAUAGAGAGAAGACAUUCAUGUUGCUAGAUCUGCUAAAGCUAUAGAAAGGGCAGCUGGCACAGCCAGUGUCAGACUGGAAAUCCCAAAUCCUCAGUCUUUGCUUUAACGACUAGAUCACAAUCUGCUCCGUAGUGAUGAGGCUCUGUUUCUCUGCGUAGAUGUAGCAAUUUGAAAUAAAUAAAGUGGCUAAAGACCAUCUUCUUGUCAAGUUAAAUGCAGCCAAAUGUAGACCCACUUCAGCGUGGGGACUCUGCGUCUGUGCCAUCAGAGGAUCCUGCCUUCACUGCAUUGCACAUUUAGCUGAAAUACAGCUCCUGAAUCGAUUUAGCUGAGUGCUAUAUGUAAAAAGACACGUGAUUUUGGCUUUGCUAGCCAGCUGCAAGAACAGUGCCACCAAUCAUAGGAAAUGAACUGUCUCGCUCAGCUUAAAGAUGCCAUUGUAUUUUCUCUCCAUGGCUGCUGAGAGCAGAGGGAAAACAGGAAGGCCUGAGGCCUGGAAAAAAUGCAGAGGCAGCAAGAAGAAUACUUCUUGCUCCCGGAGGUAAAUGAGAAUUGUAAAUUACACCUUUUCAGUUUAUUAAGUACUAAUUAAUGGCUGCAAGCCUGGCAUUCUUCUACUAGACGUGUGGUGCCCGGGAAGCAGCCACCCGUGCAUUCGGAGGUUGAUUGCUAUCCUGUGAUUAUACAGAAUCCAAGCGUGGCUUUUUCUUUUUUGGGUAUUGCUGUCAUUUGAAUAAUAGAUCAUCAGCAUGCCUGGCUGCAGUGAUCCCUUAUUCACAAGUGGUUAUCGUCCAAGAAAGUUAUGUGACUGCUUCAGAGAGCUCAUAUGACACCCAGGCAGUGUGCCUGUGUGCUGGGAGCCUCGUGAAGGUCUGACUGACCUCCAGAGAUGGAAUUAAGGGUCCCUGACUAUCCCCCAGAAGCAGUAGGAAUCUGCUGAUCCCUGGUACGCUUAGGCAGGAUAUUCCUGACUCCAAAUAGAGUGAGCCAUGGCCACUGAAUAUCCUAUAAAUCUUGUUGCAGCUCCAGGUGAAAAAUACAUGUUCCAUGAAACCCAUCUCUGUGAGGAAGGUUUCUUCUGUAGAAGAUUUAUUCUGCUUUUCUUCUGUAGAGAAGAAACUACAGCACAUCUGCAACCUGGCUGCUACCGAGUCUCUUACUGCUAUCAAAGCAAGGGGGGGUGUUAAGGAAGGGACCAUAAGAGGACAGCAAGGUCACUCCACAGGUGAUUACAGGGAGCAUCCUCCAAGCAGGGAAGUAUGCGUGAAGGACCUGGUUUGAAAACUGGCGACAGAGGAUAACAUCAUGGGCCAAGAUGAAGCAGAAGGUCCCCUCCUGAUACCUAAUGACAGAGAAAAGUUUGUCAGUAAAGAUAGAGAAGGAGACUAACACUGAAGAGGUGCACCAGCGAGGGCAAGCACCCUGAAUGCCACUGAGGAGACUGGCAAGGACAGUGCUCUCUGCAGUCCUUCUCUGGGUGGGUAUCAGACUGGGUUUGCCAAGGUCAAAGAGGAGCACACUGUGGAGCCUGAGAUUUGAGAUAAUGAGAACCCAAACAGGAGUUUGAUCUGAGAGUCCAGCUUAGCCAUCUGGAGUCAAUUUAAUCUUGCCCUAAAAUGUUUCCCUCCCACACUACUCCAGACAGAAGAAAACAAUAGUAACAUAGACAAAGACUUUUUAGUGGCAGUGGAGCAAAUCUGAGAUCAAAGGUGGUGAUUUGGGUCACACAAAAUAUGAUCUGCAAGCUUCAGAUGCAGACGCUGAAUUACAUUUGGCUGUUCUCACUGUGCCUUGCUUUGUGCAUAUGUUUUGUGUUGCUCUACAAUGGCAGCUCAGCUUUAGCAAAAUUUUACCAAUACCCUAUGGAUGUUUACAGCAAGUAUCUCCCAGACAGGGAAAGAAGCAUGAGGGAGGUUCCUGCUAAAUCCCAUACCAGCUAAACCCCAGCUAUCUGAGUGUCCUCAGCAUAAUUCCAAAUAAUCCACUUGGCUGAAAUACAGACAAAUAGAAGAAAGGUUAGGUUUACUGAUUUUCUUUCAAUGUUCUAAAUAUUUUGCUUUUCCUCCCUUAAUUUGCAUGUUUAACAAAUACCAAAAUUAUUCCUUCUUUUGUGACUUAUGGCAACUAUUGUAUGACAGAUUGAUUUUUCAGUUUACUGGCAGAACCACCCAAAAAAAUGCAGGAUACCCCCCCGCCCCCGUUCAUUUUUAAGAUGUUUCAAACUCUUUUCCCUUUCUAACAAAUCUGAAACGAUUUGGGGCAAAAAGGUUUGAGGAGAGAUUACAUUGGCUAGAAGAUUUAUGCCUGCAUAAUUACACAAGGAAAACAGUUAGGUUGAAAAGCUUAACAACAGUUAAUUUAGGACCAUUAUUUAGCUGAAGUAUAAGGUCAUAUUUAGAGAUAAAAGGACAUGGAAGUUUUCAGAAAAGGUGUGGAAAAUAAGACCAGGAAAUGCAAAACCAUAGUGUGAACUUCCUUAACAGCUGAAUUGUUCACUGACACUGCAGUCCCAAAGGCAGCAUCUGCAUAGCUCUAUAUUAGUUUUAUAAUUAACUAGCUAAUAGUGGUGGACAUCAUCAUACAGCAGUUCUUUGGUUUGACUACAUCUAAGCUAGCAUGUGUAAAACAGCAUCAUAUGGCAUGAAUAGGAGAGGAUGUAAUUUCAGAGAGAUCCAUCCCCAGGUGGCAUUCCUUAAUAUUACAAACACUUUGCUUAAUUAUGCAAAUGCCACUGAGAAUAUUAAAGAAAAAGCUGGAAUCUCUAAUUGCAUGUACUUCCUUGUCUAUAUUCUGGAUACAUCCAACCGUUCUGCUGUAAUGCUUUUAAGGCUAUUUGCUGUAGUAGUAGCUUUGUGCUAAUUGUAUUCUGCACACAGGAAUUACCAAGUCUUGCUAAUUUUGAAAGACAUUACCCCAUUUUUGGCAAUCAGUUGAACUGAGGUAACUAAAUAAUUAGUCCAUAGAUAUGUAUUCUACUCUAAUCAGACAUUAAUUCUAAUAGGGUUUUUUUUAAAAAAAAAGAAACAAAAAGCAAAUUGGCAACUUUUGCAUAAAAAUUAUUUGUAAUAAUAGAAAGAUUUCCUCUAAAAUGUGUGGAAACAAAACUUCAAAUUUUGACUUGAAAAUAGUAUAAAUUAUAAAAACAUGAAGAUCAAAUACCAUUUUUUUAGUGCAAUUUCUUUAAAAAGUAUUUCCCACCUGAUUUUGCAAAACCCCAAACAAAUAAAUAAUGUCAAGGCAACAAAUCCCCAAUCCUACAUCAUUAUUAGUAAUAAUAUACUAGCUAGAAUAACAAUAAAUAGGUAUAAAUAAUGCUAUUAAUUGUGAAAAUUGUAUUUGCUUCUGACAUCUGGGCGGCAGACAGCUUACCUGGCAUUCAACUAUAAGUGGUGCCAAUUCAAGCCUGAAUUAUUUUGAGGUGUUUAGGUGGAGGGUUUGAUCCAAACCCACAUUUCAUCAUCACAUAUGCUGGAAAUAAAAAAAAAAUUGCUUAUCUGAAUGACAGCAGGGAGAAAGUCAUGUAAUUUGAUCUCUAACUCCAUAAUUUUUAGAGACUUCUCUUGCAAUGAAAGUCAUUUGCAUAGAUGAUAUUUUUGUCUGAUAUAUCAGUAUGCCAUAGAAUACAGAAACAAAUUACAUCAGUUUAAACAGAUUUUUGCAACUAGAUGAUUAUAAAUUUAACUUAUCCAAGUUAUUCACCUCUGGGUUAGUGUUUGAAUUUCCACUACCACUUUUGCAGCUUGCAUCAGGAGUAGAGAAGGAAAGAGUGUCAUCAGGAACAGGCCCAAGCAAAGCUGCUGACAGCAGCAAACAAAGGCGGAUGGAGAAAUUUGUGUUACAUUGCAGUGAACCAGCCCUUCAGCAAUAAAGGGGAUUAAUUACUGUGUACGCGUACACACUGACUAAUGGCAGAUAAUUUGGAAUGAAGAUGAAUUGUUCUCUAAUAUGUCAUGUUCGCUGGCCACAGGCUGUCGACUCGGCUGCCACAGUCCUGUGGGAGCCUUGCCAAACAGCCUCUUAGGACCUCUUAGGAAAGACUGAGUGAUUAUCCCUUCAUGUGCCCCUUAUGUUGACUUCCACAUAUCUUAGCUUAAACUAUGUCCGUAGUGUCCAACCAUGUCCAUAUGUUCAAUACGCCUAACUUAGCAUCUAGCCAAGACUGUCCCUGAGGCUGUCUCAUACUAUGAAUCUCCCAGUUUCCCUAGGCAGAAAGCUUUUGAAUUAGAGGGAUCUGGGAAAACUGAAAAGAUGGUGAAAAAAAAAAAAAUCAUAAAAAGAUAAUUUGUAGAGAUGUUCAGUAUUCAUUCUGUAAGGAUCACUCUUCUUUAAGGAGACGGGGAUUUAGUGAAGCUAUAAUUUUGAAACACCUGCCUGCACCUCGGUCUGAGUCUGCUGGGUCAUGCGUGCAUCAGGAAGGUAAUGUUCAGGCUCACAUUUGUCACGAUUAAAACUAAAAAUGACUCAUCUGCAGAGCCUUGGGUUUCCCUGCUGACUCGUGUUGGUCUUGCACUUGCACAUUUCUUCCAGCUCCAGUGAAACUACUCACUAUAUGGUGAUCUUAGAGGAAAGGAGAAUCAGCCAUUUCUCUGUCCUAUAAAAAGACUCUCACCCUGGAGCCAGCAGCAUUCGCUAUGGCUUAAAUUGUCCUUACAGAACUAGGAGCCAUUUUUCAGAAAAAUGAGUAGUCUUCUCAAAGGAAUGUUGGAGCCUGAAUUCUCAACCAAGCACAUCACUAAUGAUAGCUUGUGUUAGAAGAACAAUAGCAAGGAAGUUGAAGUCUACAUUCUGUGAGCUUAAGCACUUGGAAAUUUUUCAUUAUGUUUUGAACAAAGUUCCUUGCAGUCUGCAUGUCUUGGAGGAUGUUUGAGAUUUACAGAAUCGUUCAGGUCUCUGCAGGCAGUUGACUGAAAUGCACCCAGGUCUUUAUUAAUUGAUGCUUGCAAGUGACUCUUUGGUCCUGGCAGCAUAAUCCCCCAGGAACGUUCAGAUGCAUCAUGAAAAUGACAAGAAGUGCAUCCUUACUAGUAACCCAGUUUAAAACACUAAGUAGUAAAUGGAUGUGUAUCUUGGAUUACCAUGUUCCUUUCGGACCUGGUUCUUGCAGUUAAGGAUUGGUGGCAGAUUGCUUGAACCCUCGGUUUAGCUGUUGUAGCUGCAUUUGUUCUUGCCACCUGUUUGCUGUGAAUAAGUAACCCAUUAGUUUUCACAGCACAAGAUUUGAAAUCCCACUCUUGCACUGAAAAUGUAAGUACCAAAGACAAAUAAUAAGAAAAAGCAAAGAUGGCAGAAACUUUGAGGGACAGAUGCUCCUAAACACUCAUCUUAUUUUAUACAUCCUUGGUGAGCCAGUAAUUCCUCAUUUUUCUGGACUAUGGAGAGGUAUGAAGAAUUACUAAAUCAAUGCACAUGAUAUCCAUCAAAAUAGGAAUUUCUAUCAAUGCCAUACAUUAAUCCCUCUGAUCUAAUAGUACACUUGCAGAAUGUAAUUAGCAGUUCUAUCAGCAGGAGUUUACAUUUUUCAAUUAUUAUUACAUCAAAGUUGGCUUUACGUGUGCAUCUUGUAUAAUCAACAGAGGCCAGGUUCUCGCAUACUUUCAAAGAGCAGAUACAGCCUUCCUGUAGAGACAAUCCUCCUGACUUUUUUCAUGUGCUUCGAGAGUGAAGGUGGUACAGAGCACCUAGUUAAGGUGAUAUAAGCAUCUGGCCCUAAGCACUACAUAGUGUGCUUGGUUGCCUAGAUUUGAGGGAAGAGAGUGAAAGCACACUGAUGUAAUACUGGUGCAAAUCUUAUACCUCCUUGGCCCAAAUUAUUAUGGAUCUCCUCACAAGAGCUAUGAGAGAAUCAUGUAAGGAUUAAGGAGAUUAGAACAAGAAAUGAGGCAUGUAGCAGUGAAGAGAUAUGUAGUUCUUAGAACUUAAUCAGGUGCACAAGAGAUUAUUUUAAGCAAGGACUGGACAGAACAUUGAUAAGAACUGGUUGUAAUUAUGACUUCUUGCAAAUUAAGACUUGUAAAUUGAAGCUUCUAACUGUGCCACAUGAGGAGCUGUUUGAUCUGUACCCAAAGACAUGGCUUUUUAAUGCAGUGAGGGGUUUGAUAGCUUCACAAAAUUUAAUGUUACAACAAAAAGUUACUGCUUUUUAGUGUCAUGUGUUAUUUAUGAUUAUUAAUGAAUCCCAUACAUAAGGCUCUCUGUACUUACCAGUCCACGUAGAUGAACAUUAUAAACCUUUUCCUUGUAGUGGUAAAGAUCUGUUACUUCGACAUGUAAUUUAAUUAGCACUUUAAGUAAUGUGAGGUUUUUUCUGUUGAAUGAAUUUGGAUGCUUGUCUUAUGGUUAAAUACCACACACAUGCAAAGCCAAAUUCUGCUCUUGGGUUUAUAACUUCAAGCUUGCUGGCACUUACUGCAUCUUGCUGAAAUGAGGCAUCCAGUUAAGUGAAGCAUGUAUUCACCCUGAUUUCUUUUCCAGUCAAUGGAGAGAUUUCAGCAGACUAAUUAGUCGACUGGAAGAUGCCUACGUUACUUAUUGAUGACAGAGAAUGCCCAGCAUGCCCACACCCUGAAACAGGUGACAUGAAUCUGAGCCAUUGACCUAGGAUGUCCUUAUAUGCCUUAGGAUAGACCUCAGCUCUUAAUAUUUUGAACUAUUCAUUUGCAGAAUGUUCUUAUAUUCAAUGAGUUAACUCACACAAUAUUCAAUAAAACUGUCAAAAAUAAUCAUUUUUCUUGUAAAAAAAAAGAAAAUAAAAGAAAAAAAGGCCCAAAACAGCAAAUCAAAGUUAGGGCUUAUUUUUCCUCAUGUUGCUCCCCGUGCUGGUGGUGUUGGUCAGACCUUUGUAUACUAAUACUUCUUUCUUCUUUUUACUUACUUCUUGUAAAUCUAAAUUAAAAGUUAAUAAAUUUUGUGGACUUUUUAAACUCAUGACAGGAGAAUGCAUACUAUUUUAUCUCAGAAAGCAAUGUCAGAAAAGAGAACUUAAUAUGAAAAACUGGACUGCGCUCCUUCAAGGCAAGAUGUUGGCAUCACAUCAGAGGUCACUUAAUAGUGCAUCUAAAAGUAAUAUUUUGGUGACUGACUUCUGAAUGGGUACAAAUAAAAAUGCUAUCUUAGAAGGAAGAGGCCUCAACUCAGCUGAUGCAGAAGACUGAGCAAUGCUUCUCCUAAUAAAGAUUUCCAACAUCCUGCAAUAUUUGCAUUAUUCUUGGAGCGGCUCCUGACCAUGACAUAUAGGGUUACUUGCAGCAGCUGCAAUCAACUGGUAUGCGAUGGUACACUAACCAGUAUUUGAAAUGCCAUAUAUGCCAGCCAGUAUUGUGAAAUAAAUUUUACAGCAGGAAGUACUGCACUUUUUGCCUGUAGCAUUACAUUUCUGUUUCAGUCGCUAGCAGCAUGGAGAUCAUCAGAUAAUGUCUUUGUACUGGCCGGACUUUGACCCUGGGAACUCCCCACAACAACAUAGUACUCAAAGAAGAUAGAUUGAUGUACAUGAAUAAAAGCAUAGAAACCGUUCAAUUUAUUAAUGAUGCCAAGAAAUACUCGAUGAUAAUAAAAAGCCUCCAUACAUAAACUUGGAAAAUAGUUUUGUACAUAAGUUUUCUCUCAUUUUUGAAGGGAGGUUUAUGAGGACAAAUUCACAUGAGCUGCGAUAGUUUCUUCCAAUAGGAAAACUCAAUCUAGAGCAAUCCAGAGAUUAAAACCCUGAAAAGUAAAGCAUAUAUUUGUUUUUAGUUUAUGGUGUUGAUGCAAAGAAAUAGAACUGUUCGACAAGUGUAAUCUGUACAUUGUCUGGAAUAAUCUAGGAUAGGCUUUGCCUUAACCAUUUUGAAGUUUGCAACAAGAUACUGAAAAAUGUACCCCUUUCCUCAGCUUCCAGCUGCUCCUGUAGCUCUGCUCCUAGAGUUCCCCCACCUGCCUCCAGGCACAUGGCUUCCCACUGCUGUGUCCACCCUGCUCCUGGGCAGGUCCCAUGGUCCUUGUGCCAGGGACAUCUCCAUCACAAGGUCACCAUGAAGGGAAUGGGGACUUCCAUUCCUUCUCUUCAAGGCAAAUCUCAGCAAAACAGGCAGUGGGCAGACUGCCAGGGCAGCAUAUUUUACACUCUUCACACAGGGUUUCUUGCUGGGCAAAGCUGGUUUUCAGUACCACAACCUUCACGAGACAAAAAUGUAAUUUGAAAAAGGAAGUAUGUGUGUUUAAUUCAAACCAAAGGCUUACAGAGACAACCUCUUAGACUUGGACACAACUCUUUCCCUCGUGUUUAGUCUUUUAUGUUGGCCUGCAGAAGUCAGUGAGACUGGCAUCCCUCAUUAAUUAAUACUAGAUUAAUGAAGUCUGCAGGAAAACAACUUCGGCCUUGUCCAGGCAUGUCUGCAGGCUGGAGAUGGGUUAAUCAGCCACAUGAUGGGAAGUUCAUGCUUCUAGUUCAGCUGGGGGAAAACAGGCAUUACCUAAUCCAAUAGAAACCAGAAGUAGCACAGAGAGACAAUAUGUGAUCAGACCUAAGCACUGCAGGUGCAGAGUUAACUCGUUAAUAAUUUUUGAGCAAAGUUGAACUAAUGAGUGUUUUAUACAGGACACAUGUUCAUGCCCUGUGUGUUUUUUUCCUGGCUCCAGGAACCUGACAAACAUCCCUAUUGCAUGGUCCAGCCACAGCCUGAGGUUUGCCUGCACAGGUUGUACAUCCCACUUCCCAUGGAGCUGUUUGGCAGCUUGGAAAGGGAGAAUGGCCAACGUAUUGGAACACCAAAUAGUCUCAAAAAUGGUUAUGCUUCUAUUCUGCCUGAUGUUCCCACUGUCAGUUAUAUAAAUGUAGCAACAUUAUUAUUGUAGGGCAGGCUAUUUUAAGACAGACAGACAGAGUUACAUUUCAACAUUUAUUUGCAUUCUUAGUUUUGCCAUUGCAUAUGUUAGAUCUUUCUUUUUUUUUUUUUUUUUUUUUUUUGUCAAAAUGGCUCACCUAGGACUAAAGUCUAGCACAUAUUCCCAAAAGAGGGAUGCCAAGCUGAACUGUGAAAUACAUGUGUUAUUUCAUGCUCUUCUACUGUUACUUGAGAUGAAUUUAGUCAUGCCAGUCCCACUCAAGCUCCUCUAAAACAGAUUAAUCAAAUGGAGUCUCUAGAUGUCCACAAUUUUUAAGACUCAGGCUGCAGAGAUGUCAAAUCGGGGAAAGAAAACUAGCAACCACUGGUUCAAAGACUUGUCUCUAACUUCUUUCAGUUCCCUCCUCAGUGAAAUAGGGGAACCUGCACUCCUCAUUAAAGUGACUCAAAGUCCAUGGACAAAGGUACCAGAGAACAAGGUGUAGGUGUUCUAAGACUCAGCUCUCAAUGAAGAAUUUUCUUCCUUCCUAGUGAGAUUUCUGUGCCAUCCUAUAUAGACUGCAGUGAGUGUUUUGUCCCUCAGUACUUUCUUGCAUUUGACAUGUUCUUCACUAUAUUUGAGAGUAAAAGAGACCUUACAGUGGCUUCUCCACAAGGGCAUUACUAAUUAAAACUUCCUGAGAAUGAGAGUCCUUUCAUCACUCUUCCUCAGCCCCCCAUACAGGACUUUCUUAGGAUAUGUGAUUUGAUGUCCCAUUAGUCUCUUCUUGUGGCCUGAAUCUUCCCUCUUUCAUGUCCUCUUCUGCUUUUUAACAUUGUGGAGAUUGUCUGAAGCCAGCAGCAAGCUGUAAAAGUUUUUCAUUGCUAGCAUUUCUUUUUCAACGCAGCCUUGCUAUAUAUGACCACUCCAGCAGAGAAAGCCUUUGAAAUGCAUGAGGCUCCACAGCAUGGUCACAGUCAGGAUGAGCAUAUUAAAAAAAAAAAAAAAAAAGAAAAAAAA